AUUGAACGCUGGCGGCAUGCUUUACACAUGCAAGUCGGACGAGUGGCGAACGGGUGAGUAACGCAUCGGAACGUACCGAGUAAUGGGGGAUAACUGUCGGAAAGGACGGCUAAUACCGCAUACUAUUCGAUCGGCCGAUGUCGGAUUAGCUGGUUGGGGGGGUAAAGGCCCACCAAGGCGACGAUCAGUAGCGGGUCUGAGAGGAUGAUCAGCCACACUGGGACUGAGACACGGCCCAGACUCCUACGGGAGGCAGCAGUGGGGAAUUUUGGACAAUGGGCGCAAGCCUGAUCCAGCCAUGCCGCGUGUCUGAAGAAGGCCUUCGGGUUGUAAAGUACUUUUGGCAGGGAGGCGGUACCUGAAGAAUAAGCACCGGCUAACUACGUGCCAGCAGCCGCGGUAAUUC
RNAcentral lists this ribosomal RNA (406 nucleotides) under uncultured bacterium. RNAcentral's name for it is "partial 16S ribosomal RNA". It matches the Rfam family "Bacterial small subunit ribosomal RNA", at positions 30 to 526 of the family's 1533-position model. The record is from RNAcentral.